UACGUAGGUGGCAAGCGUUGUCCGGAAUUAUUGGGCGUAAAGCGCUCGCAGGCGGUCUUUUAAGUCUGAUGUGAAAUCUCGUGGCUCAACCACGAACGGUCAUUGGAAACUGGGGGACUUGAGUACAGAAGAGGAGAGUGGAAUUCCACGUGUAGCGGUGAAAUGCGUAGAGAUGUGGAGGAACACCAGUGGCGAAGGCGACUCUCUGGUCUGUAACUGACGCUGAGGAGCGAAAGCGUGGGGAGCGAACAGG
RNAcentral lists this ribosomal RNA (253 nucleotides) under uncultured bacterium. Its description in RNAcentral is "partial 16S ribosomal RNA". It matches the Rfam family "Bacterial small subunit ribosomal RNA", at positions 524 to 776 of the family's 1533-position model. The record is from RNAcentral.